UCAAUAUAUAAUUUGAAUCAGGUCAAAGUUGAAAUCUUUGGGUUAAACCUUUUAAACGUUUAAAUAUGAUACCCUUUUGAAAAUUACAUAUUAACCCUGGAUUGAAAUUGAAAACUAGGUCCUUCAUAUUUAAAAUUGCAUGACAGGAACUUAUUUAAGUAAUUACAAUAUGACCCCCAACUGAUAAUUGCAAACAGGGGUUUGAAGAUUACUUAUUUACAGUAGAAGCCCCCGUCUACCUUUGGUCCAUUUUCUACAGAACUGAAUUUUUUUUUCUUUCCUGCGGCGUUAGCGGCAUCCCGCGCCACUGCAACCUGUGCGACAACAACAUGCUGCCACCGAUCAACCAAUUUUUUUUUUUAAUUCUUGAUAAUCACCAUAGACAAAAAUCCACACACAAAUUCAAUUGAAGAUUCAAAUUAGCAAGGUUCUUCAAAAUGCAAUAUGGGUAAUCAAGAUGCAACAUAUACAAAUUAAGAAAAAAAAAUUGCAUUCAUGGUGGUGUUCCAAAAACCUUGCUGCAGUAGGGGUUGUCAUCCGGCGGCUGUAACAUGGUCUUUUACAGAUUGGGUUUAGGGAUUUGGUUUCAGAAUUUUACAUACAAUGAGGAGAAAAACAGCCAUGGAUUUGGAGAAAAUCAUAUAAAGACAAAAUCUCUACCACGGAAGAAGGAAACGGGUCUUCUUGCAAAUUGGGUUUUGGAUUUCUUUUGAUGCUUACAUGAUGAAUCGUGUUAUAG
Molecule: long non-coding RNA, 739 nt
Filed under: Olea europaea subsp. europaea
Lineage: Eukaryota; Viridiplantae; Streptophyta; Magnoliopsida; Lamiales; Oleaceae
Source: RNAcentral